Molecule: ribosomal RNA, 612 nt
Filed under: uncultured Bacteroidota bacterium
Lineage: Bacteria; Pseudomonadati; Bacteroidota
Description: bacterial SSU rRNA
Rfam family: Bacterial small subunit ribosomal RNA
Source: RNAcentral
CACGCUACGCGAGCUAUACAUGCAGUCGAACGGUGUCUUCGGACAUAGUGGCGCACGGGUGCGUAACACGUAUGCAACCUACCUUACAUUGGGGGAUAGCCUUUCGAAAGGGAGAUUAAUACCGCAUAAGACAGUAGCUGGGCAUCCAGCAGCUGUUAAAGAUUUAUCGAUGUAAGCUGGGCAUGCGUCCAAUUAGCUAGUUGGUGAGGUAACGGCUCACCAAGGCAAUGAUUGGUAGGGGAACUGAGAGGUCAACCCCCCACACUGGCACUGAGAUACGGGCCAGACUCCUACGGGAGGCAGCAGUAGGGAAUAUUGGGCAAUGGACGCAAGUCUGACCCAGCCAUGCCGCGUGCAGGAUGAAGGCGUUAUGCGUUGUAAACUGCUUUUAUACAGGAAGAAACGACUCUUGCGAGAGGCAUUGACGGUACUGUAUGAAUAAGCACCGGCUAACUCCGUGCCAGCAGCCGCGGUAAUACGGAGGGUGCAAGCGUUGUCCGGAUUUAUUGGGUUUAAAGGGUGCGCAGGUGGUUUAUUAAGUCAGUGGUGAAAGACGGUCGCUCAACGAUUGCAGUGCCAUUGAAACUGGCAGACUUGAGUAAAGUAGAGGUG